UCCUCGGUAGUAUAUCGGCUAGUACACCCGCCUGUCAUAGCGCAAACGCGGGAGAGCGGGGUUCGACUCCCCGCCGAGGAG
RNAcentral lists this transfer RNA (81 nucleotides) under Schizophyllum commune. RNAcentral's name for it is "tRNA-Asp". It matches the Rfam family "tRNA". From Rfam's summary of the family: Transfer RNA (tRNA) molecules are approximately 80 nucleotides in length. Their secondary structure includes four short double-helical elements and three loops (D, anti-codon, and T loops). Further hydrogen bonds mediate the characteristic L-shaped molecular structure. tRNAs have two regions of fundamental functional importance: the anti-codon, which is responsible for specific mRNA codon recognition, and the 3' end, to which the tRNAs corresponding amino acid is attached (by aminoacyl-tRNA synthetases). tRNAs cope with the degeneracy of the genetic code in two manners: having more than one tRNA (with a specific anti-codon) for a particular amino acid; and 'wobble' base-pairing, i.e. permitting non-standard base-pairing at the 3rd anti-codon position. Lineage: Eukaryota; Fungi; Basidiomycota; Agaricomycetes; Agaricales; Schizophyllaceae. RNAcentral also lists the same sequence under 1 other name. The record is from RNAcentral.